AGAGGCUGUCCUGAGCUCUGUAGGGUGUGGGAUCUGAGCUGUCAGUUUCCCUGGAUGGAAAAUAGCUUUGAUGGAGAAGCUCUUGCUCACAGUACUGCACUACUGCUUUCCUUCUUACUCUUGAUUCUGAGAAUAAAAGCAACUUCUCUGUUCCUCAUGAUGUCAGGUUUUAUGAACCCUUAUUGCUGGAGAAUUUGAAGAGGCACCUGAAGGAGUAACAUGUUUAAUGAGGAGAUCUGAGAGGGGAUCUUAUCAAAUGUUGUACAUAUCUUGAUACCAGCUUUUUACAUGAUAAGGCCAGGUUCUUCUUCUUUAUUUUAGCGUGGAUAAACCCUUAGUAAAUAACAUAAGUAAUAGCAAUAAAAUGGCUUGGCAUAUUGAGUUAACAUUAGAUUUUUUUUUUAAUCAAUUUUAACUUCACUGAUGUAUAUCCUAGAGAAUAAUGUUGUUUCCUUAAAAAGAAAAACAACUCCAAAACAACAACAACAACAACAACAAAAAAAAACACAGACAAAACAAACUCCUCCAACAUUUAGGCCUGUUCUAUUCGAUUAGAUACUCUAAUGCGGCUAGAAAUGCAGUAAGAAAAAUUGCUGCUGAAUUGGAGUCUGGAAGUUAGGAUUUGUAUUUUCAAACACAGACUGCAUACAAAACAGGGUAUAGAAGAAAGUAAGCCCUACUCAUAAUGCAUGCCCAAUUAAAAAUGUCAAAACAUACACAGUCUUUUAAGAGGCUUUUAUAAAACUUUCUUCUGGUAUGUAUAAUUAUUAACAAACGGUACGUAAAGCUGAAGUCUCUGAGAAAUGUUCUUCCUAGUACGACUCCAGGAAAAUUCUUAAUGUGAUGAUGCUACUUAAGGGAACUGUUGAUUCCAGUGAUAAGUGACUGUUUCAAACUCAACUCAUUGUGCAUUUGAUAUGCAGAAAAACAUCUAUUUUUUGAUAAAAGAUUGGCAUCUAAAAAAGCGAUGUACAGCAUAGUUAUUUUUUCUUUAAGGACAUUUCUCUGUGUAUAUGUUCUGAAAUUGUGUAGAGCUACACUGUAGAGCUGAGGGGUUUUUCAGGGGAAAGAAGCAUGUUUGCUCUUCAGAAUUGCUCUUUCUGCAAUAUUAAAUUAAGCUUGAUUUCAGAGUGCAUUACAUUAAGGGAUGUGUUUAUUUCAUCUUCAUUACAGUAUAAAACCAAUACAGGUCAAUCCAGUUGGUUGUGCGUGCUGUAGGGGUUUGAUUCAGUUUCCAAGCUGGCUUAACAUUGUUCUCUUCAUUUGUCUUAUUCUCACUGCCGUUUCUUGGUCUGGUGGAUAAAUAUCCAUCUGUAUUCUUGUGUAACUCUUGCAUAAUUCUUUAACCUGUAACUUUUCAUAAUUGCAGCUUCAGUAGCCUUCUGAGGAAGGUUAACAAGUUAAUGGCGUCACAUAUUUAAAAGGACAUGCUUGAAAACUGAUUGGCAGAUGUAAAUAAUUGCACACCAGAAUCCAUGCUGGCUGACAGUUUGGGUUAUGUUAAAUACUUAAGUAAACCCUUAUUAUUUAGUGGUGAAUGGCAUUACUCUUGGUUGUUAUCAUUCUGUAUAUUUCUGAAGUAGUGUAUGGUGUUUUAUCAGCAUAGAUGAACUGUUAGUUAGUGUUUGCCUCCUGUGAUUGUAAGCCUCAGUUUACUAGUAGUGGAAUAUGUAACGUUUAAAAGCUAAACUAGCUUCAUAUUUCACAAGUGACGAUAUUCUAAAAAUAAAUGCAGUAUUGAUAUU
This is a long non-coding RNA of Gallus gallus (chicken), 1745 nucleotides long. The record is from Ensembl. Lineage: Eukaryota; Metazoa; Chordata; Aves; Galliformes; Phasianidae.